AGUUUGAUACUUUUCCAAAAGCACAUUUUGAAGGAAACCCUUUGUUGUGCGGUGGUGUACUGCUUUCUUCCUGCAAGGCUCCACCUCAGCCGCCUGCUACAACCACGGAUGAAGAGGAUACAGAGGAGUUAAAAAGAACGUUUUUCGUAGGGGUUGUCAUUGGGUUUUUUGUUUCCUACUGUUUUUACUGGUGCUUGUUUGCUAUGCGAUGGGCAUAAUAAUAAAGAUCCAUUGCUUAAUUUGACUAAGUAUCUAUUUCCACAGGUAAAAUAAACUGAAAGUGUAUUCAUUUUAAUCUCUUUGAUCUGUAUCAAAUUCGUACCAGAGCAGUUGGUCUGUUAUGACAGAAACCUCGUUUGUCAUCAGUGUACCACAACUUAUCAGGGGAAAAGGCUAAAAAUCAAAGAGCAAAUCAUAUCAAUAUUAACAAUAUGCAAGCUAAAAUUAAGAGCUUUCGAAACGAUAUCUUCAAAAAGAUCCAAUGAUACACUGAAAUUGAAAGCUGAGAACCCGAGGAAGUAUACUCGAAUCAGAUAUCAGACAUUUCAAAAAAUAACCGCAAAGAGAAGAACCUGGCACCUGGAGUUAACAGAGAGACGGCGAAGAAUAAUGAUGGAUUUCUUCUCGCUGGAUAACAAAUUAAAAUUUUGGGUUUUCACCAGUAGUCGAGAAUCGUAUUCACUGGGGAAGAAGGCUAGUGUCAGCUCCGUUUGUUUGCUCC
Molecule: long non-coding RNA, 721 nt
Filed under: Eutrema salsugineum
Lineage: Eukaryota; Viridiplantae; Streptophyta; Magnoliopsida; Brassicales; Brassicaceae
Description: long non-coding RNA (ESAL_LNC000619)
Source: RNAcentral